Long non-coding RNA from Anas platyrhynchos (mallard), 3291 nucleotides. RefSeq lists it as uncharacterized. NCBI's taxonomy places the organism in Eukaryota, Metazoa, Chordata, Aves, Anseriformes, Anatidae. The record is from RefSeq and is a predicted model, not a curated record.
CCCGCCGCCGCCGCCUUUGUCUGCCGCCGGCCGCGGCUCCGCCGCCGCCUCCCCGGCGAUUUUCGGGCUUGUUUUUAUCCCCUCCCUCCUGCCUUGCCAGCCCGGAGGGGGGGGGUGUGUGUAUGUCUGUGGCAUCAUCGUUAUGUUUCAGCCUUUUUACUUUUUUAAUUAUUAUUUUUUUUUCUUUUCCCCGAGGGGACGUUUUGCAGCAUCCGUAGGGCGCGGGGGGGGGGGAAGGGGGGAGGACAGCGGGACCGCUGCCGGCUCGGGGUUUUUAUUACGCUGCUGCAAAACAAAGCGGGAUGCUUGCAGAUCUCAAAACAAGCUGAGGGCUAUUUUUAAAAAUAGGACUGCUCGGCUGCAUGGAAGUAAUAAGUCGCAGCCUCGCUGAAUAGAAAUACAUGAAAACCACAGCAUUUUCCUCUCCUAACUUUUAAACCCACAUAAUACAUGUUUGUUCACUGCAGAUGAACUAAUCUCGCUAUUGUGUUGCCACGGAUCAGCUGGCUUGCACUUCACAUUUUCUGCAGGUCACUGCAGUCAUUGCCUUUUGUUGUUUUGGGAUGGGGGAGUGCAAAAGGAAGGGGGGGGCAGAGGGAGCAUGAUCGGACACGGUGCCAAGACUGGGCUUGGAGCACCAUCAUCGGAGGCUUGGUGCCGCGGUGAGCUUCUCUGCAAGCAAGGAGGGAAGAUAAGUACCCAAGAUGCCCUUUGCCCUUUGCUCCUCUGCACUGUUUUCCCCAUGUCUGUGGCCAUUGCCAACCACAUCUUAAGCCCCACUCCCAAGGAGUGGCAGGGCCCAGUGGUGCCCCCUGUUUGGGACCCGUGGUGUCCCCAGUUUGGGACCCAUGAGGCCAGGGAGGGGUCUUUCAGCACCCAGGCUUUGAAAUGUCACAGCAAGCUUGGUCUCCCAACAUCAUUUCUGAUGUCUGUGGGGGCAGGAGGGCUCUCAGGCAGAGCUCUGUAGGUCUAUAGCUUUGCAGUGGUGAGAAGAUUACACCACAAACAUGUUCAGGGUGCAGGUCCUCUGGGCACGCUUUGGUUUGUGGGUCAUGCCCCAGGUCACUCACUUCACAGCUCGGUAGCACAGGUGCUUUAGAACAGGUGAAGGCAUUUAUCCUUUUUAAGAUAGCUGUUUGGGUGUGUCUCAACAGGUAGUCUUGGUUUCUUGUGUGAGGCAGACUGAUGUGGAAGUACCACCACAGUGUCCUUCCUGAAGUGGCCCCCAGGAGGUCUCCUGGCCCAAGGGAUGUCACCCAAGCAGCUCCCAAGAAGGCCCUUGUGGUGGCUCCGUGUCUGAAUGGGUGGUAGCUUCCUCGGUUUUAUGCAUUCCUGUGACAGAGGCUGAGCGAGCAAACUUCCCUGCUAUUUGCAAGAUGUGGGCGUGCGCUCUGAAAACCUUCGUCUCGGGCCUUCCAAAGCAUUUUCGGAGGUGAAUGCUACAUCGAUGCUGGCAGUUGUGCAUGACUGCUGAAGGAGAUCGCUCAUGGCCUCAGCUCCUGCAGGAAGUACCUGAUCCAAAAAAACAAGCCCAGGAAGAGCAGGAGGCACAUCAGGAGUAUCCUCAGAUGGAUCCCAGCCACAUCUAAAGGAAACAAAACCUACAUUAAAAAAAAUAAUAAUAAUAAAAUUAAAAAAAAAAAAUCCCAGCCCUGGAAGAUGCAGCCUGACCGUGCCCGGGCUGGCCCCGAUGCACGGGGCAAUGGUGCCCUCUAAUGUCGGCCGGCCCGGCAGAGCCGCCCGCUGCCCCCCGGCGAUGCCAGGUGCCCGGGUGGGCUCUGGAAGGGGCUGCGGGUCUUAAAUCCGUCAGGAGUGUGGGGAACUGCCAGGGUACCAAAAUGCAUGGCAGCCAAAUUCACCCGCAUCUAGGUUUCGCAGGUUUUUCCGAGCCCGUUUGACUCCUUGGCAAGACCUCUGGAUGGGAGACUGCCUUCAGCUCAAGCUGUGAAAAUGAGGUUAAGGUGCACAUCGUCCAGCUCCCCAGGCUGGGUUCCCUCUUGUUUGCCGCUCCCUCAGAUCCCUGUGAUGGGUUGUGAGAUAGCCUGCAAUGACGCAGCGAGCUUUACAUUUGUGUUCAGCAUAGUAACUUUCUGAAGACACGGCACUGAAGCUUUCCCUAAUCUCAAGAAGUGAUCGUUUUGUAAUCUGCCUCGUGGAUUCCUGGUGUUAACGUUGCUGCAGGCUCUGAACAAGGACCAAGUACAACACAGCCGGCGGUGAACCUGCAAGGGAGUGGGUUGGUGGGCUCCCGGGGGGAGUCCAUCACAUUCCUCCUGCAGCCAGUCUAACUGUACGGAGGCUGCCCUGCCCGCAGUACGGCUUUCACUUGGAGGAGUAGGUUGGUGGCUGAUCUCCAGAUUUGGCCAGCACCCCUUCUCUUUAGGAGCAGCUGACUGAAACUCAAGGGCUCUCCAUUCCCCCAGGAGAGAUUUGGGGGCAGAGAUGGGCCAUGGCAGCACCUGGGAGAAGACUGUCCCAGCAAGGUCCUGCUGGAGCUGGUAAGACUGGAUGGGUGCAAAGAGCUGAGAGUUUUCAUCCUAUUUGGUCAUGUUAUUCUUGGUGUGACUCUCCUGAAUUCAGGCUGUGGUAUUUUUUCCAAAACCCUUCUACAGUUGACAAAGUCUUUACCCCAUGCGCUUGUUUGGAGGUCAGAUUCCAGCAUUCAGAAAUGUUCUCUUCUGGUUUAAUUUAUCCAGAGUAUGAGAGAGGCAGUUUCUACUGCCCUGUGGUUAAGCAGCAGGACUGGCGUCCAAAGGAUGAUCAAAUCUGAUUCCAGCCUCUUCCACAGACUUCCUCUGAUUUCAGACCAGCCAUCACACCCUGCUGGCUGUUAGUAUCCCAUCUGCAAGGCAAGGAGGAUCCAAUUCUUUUCCCUCAUCCAAGUCUGGAGCUCUUUUUGUGUUUGCAAGGCACCAGACGGGGCCUUGGUAUUAGAUGGAGCUUUGGGACUUUACCAUUAAAAAGUCAGUAAUAACCAGCCCUAUUUCAGAUAAAAUGUGAUUUGCAGUUUAAUACGCUAAGUAACAAAGACUUUACCAAAAGAAUGAACAAUGGGCUUUUUCCAUUUCACAAAAUAAUUUGCCAGGCAGAAUAAGCACACCAGCAUUUUUAUAAAAACAAAUUAUAAAUAAUUGCUUUUUGCAAUUUAAUACACACAUAGAAAGAGCCAAAGGAGUUCUGCAGCCACUGGGAAUCUGAUUUCAUUGCCGAUUUGGACUGUCUCCGUAGUUUUUAUGAAAAUCCCUGAAGACUGUGCUAUUUUGUAAACUAAACAUGGCCUUUUUUUUUUUU